AUAUUGCACAAUGGGCGAAANCCUGAUGCAGCUAUGCCGCGUGUAUGAAGAAGGCCUUAGGGUUGUAAAGUACUUUCAACAAGAAAGAAAAGAUAAAAUCUAAUAUAUUUUAUCAUUGACGUUACUUGUAAAAGAAGCACCGGCUAACUCCGUGCCAGCAGCCGCGGUAAUACGGAGGGUGCGAGCGUUAAUCGGAAUUACUGGGCGUAAAGAGCACGUAGGCGGUUAAUUAAGUCAGAUGUGAAAUCCCUAAGCUUAACUUAGGAACUGCAUUUGAAACUAAUUAGCUUGAGUUUCGUAGAGGGGGGUAGAAUUCCAGGUGUAGCGGUGAAAUGCGUAGAUAUCUGGAGGAAUACCAGUGGCGAAGGCGGCCCCCUGGACGAAUACUGACGCUCAGGUGCGAAAGCAUGGGGAGCAAACAGGAUUAGAUACCCUGGUAGUCCAUGCCGUAAACGAUGUCGACUUGGAGGUUGUAAGCUUGACUUAUAACUUUCGUAGCUAACGCGUUAAGUCGACCGCCUGGGGAGUACGACCGCAAGGUUAAAACUCAAAUGAAUUGACGGGGGCCCGCACAAGCGGUGGAGCAUGUGGUUUAAUUCGAUGCAACGCGAAAAACCUUACCUGGUCUUGACAUCCAUGAAAUUUAAUAGAGAUAUUUUAGUGCCUUCGGGAAUCAUGAGACAGGUGCUGCAUGGCUGUCGUCAGCUCGUGUUGUGAAAUGUUGGGUUAAGUCCCGCAACGAGCGCAACCCUUAUCCUUUGUUGCCAUCAGUUAGGCUGGGAACUCAAAGGAGACUGCCGGUGAUAAACCGGAGGAAGGUGAGGACGACGUCAAGUCAUCAUGGCCCUUACGACCAGGGCUACACACGUGCUACAAUGGUAUAUACAAAGGGAAGCAUCCUCGUAAGAGUAAGCGGAUCUCAUAAAAUAUAUCUUAGUUCGGAUUGGAGUCUGCAACUCGACUCUAUGAAGUCGGAAUCGCUAGUAAUCGUAGAUCAGAAUGCUACGGUGAAUACGUUCCCGGGCCUUGUACACACCGCCCGUCACACCAUGGAAGUGGGUUGUAAAAGAAGUAAGUNGCUUA
Molecule: ribosomal RNA, 1083 nt
Filed under: bacterium endosymbiont of Donacia sparganii
Lineage: Bacteria
Description: bacterial SSU rRNA
Rfam family: Bacterial small subunit ribosomal RNA
Source: RNAcentral